UUGCACGCUGGCGGCAUGCCUUACACAUGCCAGUCGCACGGCAGCACGGGUGCUUGCCCCUGGUGGCGAGUGGCGAACGGGUGAGUAAUACAUCGGAACAUGUCCUGUAGUGGGGGAUAGCCCGGCGAAAGCCGGAUUAAUACCGCAUACGAUCUACGGAUGAAAGCGGGGGACCUUCGGGCCUCGCGCUAUAGGGUUGGCCGAUGGCUGAUUAGCUAGUUGGUGGGGUAAAGGCCUACCAAGGCGACGAUCAGUAGCUGGUCUGAGAGGACGACCAGCCACACUGGGACUGAGACACGGCCCAGACUCCUACGGGAGGCAGCAGUGGGGAAUUUUGGACAAUGGGCGAAAGCCUGAUCCAGCAAUGCCGCGUGUGUGAAGAAGGCCUUCGGGUUGUAAAGCACUUUUGUCCGGAAAGAAAUCCUUGGCUCUAAUACAGUCGGGGGAUGACGGUACCGGAAGAAUAAGCACCGGCUAACUACGUG
RNAcentral lists this ribosomal RNA (485 nucleotides) under uncultured bacterium. RNAcentral describes it as "partial 16S ribosomal RNA". It matches the Rfam family "Bacterial small subunit ribosomal RNA", at positions 30 to 507 of the family's 1533-position model. The record is from RNAcentral.